Non-coding RNA from Microcebus murinus (gray mouse lemur), 5875 nucleotides. NCBI's taxonomy places the organism in Eukaryota, Metazoa, Chordata, Mammalia, Primates, Cheirogaleidae. The record is from RefSeq and is a predicted model, not a curated record.
AUCUGUCUCCUUCGUCUCCCUCAGAAUAGUGGCCUCACCGCCCCACACGGGCCAGUCCCUAGUCCACACCCUUGCUCAAGCCGGUCUGCACCUGGAAUUCACUGCCUGCCGCCAGUGCUUACCUUGGUUCUGGAAGACUAUGUGCUCCUUGAGGGCCCAGCCUGGGCCACUUCCCUGUUGAAUGCCACUGGAGCUACACGCCCUCUCACCACCCUGACCCCGCCGGUUGCCCUAACCCGGUAGGGUGUCUUUCUCUGCAGCCACCAAGCACCUCAUAGGGCCGUCUGUGUGUCCCAGCAUCGGAGCAGGGCCUGUGGCAGACACCUGGUGGUCAUGCGCUGAGUGAGUGGGGAAGGAAUCAACCCUCGCGUGACAUGGCAUAGUGUCUGGGACCUGGAGAUAGUGACAAGAAUGUUAUUUUACAAAUGGCAGUUUGAGGGAGUCUAUGCCAGUAUUUUUUUAAAAGCACAAAUGCUGCCGAAUGAAAGCCACACAUGUGCUCCCUUAGGAAAGGGAAAACAGAAGAUUCAAGAAAAUUGUCAUCUUAUUUGAGCACAAUUUCUUUCUUUCCGUUGAUGUCUCCUGGUGUGCUUUGAAAAGACAGCAAUCCUGCACCUUUGGCCAGGAGUGCCCAGCUCUGUGGGGGAGGACAUUUGGAGGCCUGAGCCUUAGAGCCACAGGUCAGGGGACAAGUGGGCGCUGGGCCCAGGCGACCAUUCCCCUCCCAGCCGGGCUUCUGGAGACCCUGCGUGCACUGCCUGGGGUGGCAGAAAGCUCCAGCUUUGUAGACAGCUCACUUCCUAUGUGGAUAAUUUAGCCUGCCACCACGUCAACUUCUUCAUCUGUAAAAUGGGGCUAUACUUUCCUAAUAGGGUUGUUGACAAGUGGUAAAAGAAAUAUUGAUGCAGAACUCUUAAUAUAAUGUCUGGUACUAGUAAAUGCUAAAAAAAUUCCCUUCCCACCCACCCCUAUGCCCACCCUCACCAACCAGCCUGGCCCUUGCCUCUGGAAUCAGAUCUCUCUAGGGAUCUUGGGCUGAGCAGCUGAGCCCAUCAACUGGACUGGCACCCAGAGCUUCCGCUUUGGAAGGGUCUAUUGGAACAGGAAAAGUCUUUGUGUCACUAAGAAAAUAAGUUCAAAUGGUGAGAGCCAGUUGGGAAAACUCUGUGGGCUGGGGACCUUUUAUAGGUGAGUGUCUGUAAUCAGAGGAGACUGUGUCACCCUUGCACCAACUCUUUGCAUAAGCACCAGUGGCCCUUAUCUGGGGGAUAAAAUCCCAGCCCUUCAGCCAGGCUGUCAGGGCCUUGGCGAUCCAGCCCCACCUGCCUGGAUUCAGUGAGCAUGCACACGCAGGCCGUCCCCUGGGCUGGACACUCACUCCCAGCUUACCCACAUCGCCCAGCAGCCCUUCUCGAAGAGGACAUCUGUCCUCACCCAGAGCAUAGUCCCCAGGUGUUUGUGCCGGUGUCUUAGCAUCCCCUUGGUUCUGGGCAUGUGGAGCCAGGGUCCAUGCCUGAGCCACCCUGAGGACAUUCACGUGGGGCCUCAUUCCUAGGUCUGCAUGACUCAACGUCUCCUGGGAGUGAACCAGGGGCUGAGCUUCUACACCCAAGUCAUGCCCAGUUCAGGACGGUCCAGGCACACCGAAGGGUGGGAAGGUGGGAGCACCCUCCUCUUGCAGCUCUCUGAGGGGAUCGGAGAGUCCCUGCUGUGCUUUCCUCAUUGGCAUGCAGGCAUGUGGCUGUGGCUUGCAUGUCCAUUUGGCCAUCUUAAGUACACAAAGUCUGUCUAUUUCCCUCUGCUCACCUGCUCAGAUGGCCUCCUCUAGCACAGUGUACAAGAGCACCAAAGUGCCCAGGGAUGCUGUAGGCAAUGCCCACACCUCACAUCCUUCUAGAAACCAGCCCAGGUCACACGGCAAUGGAGCAAGCCCAGGGCGAACGGCUGCCCUCCUGGGCCCAUUCGUCACCCUUUCUGGCCUGGGCCUGCCUCAGUGAUGUGGAAGGGAGAUGAAGGUGAUCUGGAAGAGGAAGGCUUGGGGUGCUGUCAAAGGAGGAAAAGACCCAGGGCAGAAGCUGGGAGAAGACUAGCACAUGAGUGAUGAAUCCUGUCUUCCGCUCAGAACUGUGCCCAUGAAGCAGGGGGACAGGCCUGCAAGGAAGAGUCCUGGAGCCCUACCUCCUCCAAACAACAGUGUGCGCCUGUGCAAAAGCAGAACAAGGUCAGUAUCCUCACCGUGCAAAUGAGAGGACGCAGAGAGGGCCUGCUACGGUCUGAAUGUCUGUGUCCCUCCAAAAUUUGUAUGUUGGAACCUAAUCCCCAGUGUGAUAGUAUUACAAGGUGUGGCUUCCGAGGAGUGAAUAAGUCGUGAGAGCUGGGCUCUGCCCUCAGGAACGGGCUGGUGCCCUUGUGAGAGAGGCUCGCGUGAGCUCCCUUGCCUCUUCUGCUGCUCGAGGACACAGCGGCAAGAUGCCUUCUGUGGCGCAGAGAGGGGCCCUCGCCAGAUGUCAGAUCUGCUGGCGCCUGACCUUGCACCUCCCAGCCUCCAGAACUGCAAGCAGCAAACUUCCAUUGUUUGUGAGCUCCCCAGUCUAAGGUAUUUUGUCCUAGUAGCAGGAACGGACUAAGCCAGGCCAGUGCCACACAGCUCAUCCGAUCUGGGUGGGCAGAGUGAGGUCUUCUGAUACCAAGGCCAGAGCCAAGGGGCUAGGCUGGUGUGAUGCCGGGAAAAGUGCUGUUUGCUCAUCAAGGAAAUACAGAUUAAAAACCCAACAGAGCACGAUCCCCGGCAUGGCUGAAAUGAGUAAGAUGGGUGAAAAGUCCAGUGUGAGUAGGAUGUGCAGCAGCUGGAACUGCUUCAUGUGGCCAAGAAUCAGUAUAUUAACACUUCAGAAAAGUGUCUAACAACAUUUACCAAAGCUAAAGAUACUCACACCUAGUAACCCGGCAACUCCAUUCCUAGAUACCAAACACAUUCUAGGUACUAAAAUAAUCAUAGUACCACUACCCGUAAAGCUACAAACUGGAAAAACCCAAAUUCCCAGCAACAAUAUAGUAAAUAAAAAUAUUGUGAUAUGUUUAUAUGAUAUGGUGAACAAACUAAAUACAACCAUGUGGACAAAUGUCACAAACUUAAUGCUGAGCAAAAGAAGCCAGACACCAAAGAGUAAAUGUUCUGUGAACUCACCUGUACAAUGUUCAGACCGGACAAUAGUAAUCAGUAGUAUUAGAAGGAGAGACAGCUGUUUCCUUAGGUGGGUUAGUGACAACAAGGGACAAGAAAGGGACUUCUGUGGUACUGGUUACUUGAGGGCAUUCAUUCUGUGAAAAAUCAUCAAGUCAUACACCUAUGAUUUGUACAUAUAUGAUUUCUGCAUGUAUGCUAUUUCUUCGAUAAAAAUGUAAACUUAAAAACCAUGAUAAUCUCUAUGAACUGAUACAGAGGGAUUCCAGGAUGGGUUAUGCUUAAAAAAUCACAGCACGAAACUGUAGAAUGCUACUUUUUGUGUGAGAAAGAAGAGGAAAUAAGAAAUUAUAUGUAUAUAAAAUUAUGUGUAAUAUGCAUUUGUAUAUAGUUUUUCUGCAGAAAGAAACACAGGUAGGAUAAACCAAAGAGGCUGGGUGGGAAUAGGCCGGAAAGGAAGUGAGAAGAGAGAGAUUUCUCUGCGUAUAAGUUUUUCGUGUAAGUUUUUUGACUUUGGGAACCACAUCAAUGGUUUUCAUACUCAAAUAACAACUACAACAGCAACAAAAGAUGGGGGAAAUCCCUAAAAUGUAAUACAAACAGAAAAAAAAAUUUCAAAUGAAUAACAUAACCACAUCGAAAGGGGGAAAGCCUGACCCAAGGGAGUUCUGGGCAUAUCAGUAGUAUUCUGACUACACACACUUGGACAGAGGGCAAAAACGCCUGCAAAAUGAACUCUAAUUAGUAGGACUGCUUUUUGCAGUGGUGUGGGUUAGCAGUUCUAAAACUUCCUGUGUGUUUGAGGCUUGGGCAAGUGAGUAAAUAAAAAUCAUGGGAUCCAGGUCUCACUGUUGCAGGAGUUGCAAACACUGAAAGGAGAAAGACAGAAGCGUGCCCGUAGGUACUGGAUUGGAAUUGCAGGUGGAGCGAGAGCUCGUGGUUUAUGCACACAUGUUAGCGUGGAUUCGGUCAGGGUGGUCUACUUCCCAGAGCAUUCCCUGCUACGAUAAACGAGGGCUCCUUGGAGAAACAGCUGAUUUCCAGACUGCGAUGAUGAGUCUGAGAGUGGGGAAAAGGUCAAAGGAAUGAUGAAGUGUCAAAAGGCACAGGGGUCAGCUUGAAGGGGCUCCCUCUAGCCAAACUGGGGACAAACUGAGCACCAAAAUGAAUAACAAUAGAGAUGAAUUACAACCCACUGAAUAAAGUAAGAAUCCACGAGUCCAUACAGAUAGAAUACAGGGAGUAUAAAUAUUAAUAAAUACAUGGGGAAGAGAAAAAAUUCUUCCUUAGAGUAGAAUUCAAAUUAACAAAGGGGAAAUUCUAGAGUUAGAAAAUUACAUUUGGUCACCAUCGUAGUAAUAGUUGAUUCAGCUGAGAAUCAUCGAUGGAUGAUGCUAGCAUUAGUGUGUGAAAAAUUUGAUAAAGAGGCUAUUUACACUCUUAAGGGAAUUCCCCAUAAAAUACUUAUUAAAUGCAAAUGGAAAACCAGUAACUUCACAGUGGCAGACUCACCAUAACCAGUGAUCUAAGUUAAUGUCACUAGUGAUGGGACAAAUGCACAGCCCGCCCCUCCUGGGAUGACACAAGGGAAGACACAGCAUCACUUCUACAACAAUCCUGCCGAAAACCAAUGACCCGAAUUUGAUCAUGAGGAAAUAUCAAACAAACCCAAACUGGAGAACAUUCAAUAAAAUAACUGGCCUGAACUCUUCAAAAAUACCAAGUUCAUGAAAGACAAAGAAAGGUUGAGGACUUAUUCCAAGCUAAAUAUGACUAAAAAGACACAACUAAAUGCAACUUGGGAGCCUGGAUCAAAUCCUGGACCAGAAAAAAAAAUUUAACAAAGAAAUAUUAUUGGGACAACUGGCAAAAUCUGAACAACAAGCUAUAUAGAUUAAAAAAUAAUAUUAAUGUUAAUGUCCCAAUUUUGAUAACAAGGACAAGAAAAUAUCCUUAUUCUUGGGAAAUACACACCGAACUAUUUUGGGAUAAAGGGAUAUGAUAUCUGUAACUUAGUCUCAAAUGGCUCAGAAAAAAAUUAUAUAUAACACAGAUAAUUUAUAUAUAUUUAUAUACAUACAGACAGGGAGACAGGGAGAGAAGAUGAUGAAGCUGCAGUAAAUGUUAACUGUUGGGGAAUUUGGGUGAAGAGUGAAUUCUUUGUGCUUGUCUUGCAGUUUUUUGUAAGUCUGCAAUUAUUUCAAAGGAAGAUUUAACUAACUGACUAAACAAAUGCCAUGCUUAUAUUCGUCAUGUAUAUAUUUAUUUAUUGAGGUAAAAUUUACGCGCACCCCUGAGUGCACAGUUUGAUGGAUUUCGAUAAUCCUCCAUGCGCCCACCCCCCGAAUCCAGAUGCAGAGUGCUGCUUUCCUGUCACUCCAGAAAGUUCUCUCCUGCCUCCUUUCUGUCGUCCCCUCCGGAAGCAAUCGUCCUCCACCCGGAAGCAACCGUCCUCCACCCGGAAGCAACCGUCCUCCACCCGGAAGCAACCGUCCUCCACCCGGAAGCAACCACCAAUCCGGUUUCCAGCGCCAAGGCUGCACGGCUCCGGCUGGCCUGGAAUUUCACUGGAAGGGAGUUGACUAAACAUCUUUCUUCUGGCCAGGAGGGGCGCGCCCUCGAUAGGGGUGUAGAAAGUGAGGGGAAUGCAGAGAAACUUCUCCCAUUCUACCAUUUCCUGGGUGGUGUGUA